GUAGGGGGCCAGCGUUGUCCGGAUUCAUUGGGGCGUAAAGAGCGUGUAGGCGAUUCAAUAGGUCCGAUGUGAAAACUCGAGGGCUCAACCUCGAGAGGUCGUCGGAAACCAUUGAGCUAGAGUCCGGAAGAGGAGAGUGGAAUUCCUGGUGUAGCGGUGAAAUGCGCAGAUAUCAGGAAGAACACCGAUGGCGAAGGCAGCUCUCUGGGACGGUACUGACGCUGAGACGCGAAAGCGUGGGGAGCGAACAGGAUUAGAUACCCUGGUAGUCCACGCCGUAAACGAUGGGCACUAGGUGUGGGUGGUGUCGACUCCAUCCGUGCCGCAGCUAACGCAUUAAGUGCCCCGCCUGGGGAGUACGGCCGCAAGGCUA
Molecule: ribosomal RNA, 373 nt
Filed under: uncultured organism
Description: partial 16S ribosomal RNA
Rfam family: Bacterial small subunit ribosomal RNA
Source: RNAcentral